RNAcentral lists this ribosomal RNA (482 nucleotides) under uncultured bacterium. RNAcentral describes it as "bacterial SSU rRNA". It matches the Rfam family "Bacterial small subunit ribosomal RNA", at positions 30 to 506 of the family's 1533-position model. The record is from RNAcentral.
UUGAACGCUGGCGGCAUGCUUUACACAUGCAAGUCGAACGGCAGCGGGGGCUUCGGCCUGCCGGCGAGUGGCGAACGGGUGAGUAAUGCAUCGGAACGUACCCAGUCGUGGGGGAUAACUACGCGAAAGCGUGGCUAAUACCGCAUACGAUCUACGGAUGAAAGCAGGGGACCGCAAGGCCUUGCGCGGACGGAGCGGCCGAUGGCAGAUUAGGUAGUUGGUGGGAUAAAAGCUUACCAAGCCGACGAUCUGUAGCUGGUCUGAGAGGACGACCAGCCACACUGGGACUGAGACACGGCCCAGACUCCUACGGGAGGCAGCAGUGGGGAAUUUUGGACAAUGGGCGCAAGCCUGAUCCAGCCAUGCCGCGUGCAGGAUGAAGGCCUUCGGGUUGUAAACUGCUUUUGUACGGAACGAAAAGACUCCUUCUAAUAAAGGGGGUCCAUGACGGUACCGUAAGAAUAAGCACCGGCUCACUACGU